Molecule: small nuclear RNA, 82 nt
Filed under: Chinchilla lanigera (long-tailed chinchilla)
Lineage: Eukaryota; Metazoa; Chordata; Mammalia; Rodentia; Chinchillidae
Description: U4 spliceosomal RNA (ENSCLAG00000020987.1)
Rfam family: U4 spliceosomal RNA
About the family: U4 small nuclear RNA (U4 snRNA) is a component of the major U2-dependent spliceosome.
Source: RNAcentral
AGCUUUGCACAGUGGCAGUAUCAUUGCCAAUGAAGUUUAUCCAAGGUGCAAUUAUUGCUAAUUAAAAACUUUUAUUAAAGGC